RNAcentral lists this ribosomal RNA (378 nucleotides) under uncultured eukaryote. RNAcentral's name for it is "partial 18S ribosomal RNA". It matches the Rfam family "Eukaryotic small subunit ribosomal RNA", at positions 592 to 976 of the family's 1831-position model. The record is from RNAcentral.
CAAUAGUGUAUAUUAAAUUUGUUGUGGUUAAAAAGCUCGUAGUUGGACCUUAGGACGAAAAGUCAUUAAAAGCCCGUCGAAAAGACGCAGAGCUUAUGACUUUCUCCUUUCUUUGGAAGCACGUACAACAGUAUGGCUUCUUUCAUUUACUUUGAAAAAAUCAGAGCGUUCAAAGCGGCGUAAAAAUUGCCUUGAACAUAUCAGCGAGGAAUAAUAGAACAAGACCCUGUGUCAUGUUCUUAGUCAGGUUCCCAUGACUGGGGUAAUGAUCAAUAGGGACGGUCGGUGAUUGAAGUAUUUGAUUGUGAGAGGUGAAAUUCGGUGAUCGGUCAAAGACUAACUGAUGCGAAAGCGUUAUGUCAAGGACGUUUUCAUUAA